This 240-nucleotide long non-coding RNA is filed under the name Rattus norvegicus (Norway rat). RNAcentral's name for it is "long non-coding RNA NONRATT022880". Lineage: Eukaryota; Metazoa; Chordata; Mammalia; Rodentia; Muridae. The record is from RNAcentral.
AAGUUAGGGUGGACAAUGGAUCACCAAACCAGUCCACAAGCACAGGGAGAUGCGUGGGCUGACAUCUGCUGGCUGCAAAAGUGUGGCCUUGGAAAGGGCCACAAGUUCCACCACACUAUUGGUGGAUCUCGCCGUGCAGCCUGGAGAAGGCGCAACAGUCUUCAGCUCCACCGUUACCGUAAUACACGUAAUAUCUGUGUAAAAUUCAUAGCCAAUAUACAACUUAGGGCAAUCAAAAAA